GUAACGCGUAUACAACCUACCUUCAAGCGGGGGAUAGCCCAUGGAAACGUGGAUUAAUACCUCAUGGUAUAUAGACUUCACCUGGAGACUAUAUUAAACAUUUAUGGCUUGAAGAUGGGUAUGCGUCCUAUUAGCUAGAUGGAGUGGUAACGGCACCCCAUGGCAACGAUAGGUAGGGGUCCUGAGAGGGAGAUCCCCCACACUGGUACUGAGACACGGACCAGACUCCUACGGGAGGCAGCAGUGAGGAAUAUUGGACAAUGGAGGCAACUCUGAUCCAGCCAUGCCGCGUGCAGGAAGACUGCCCUAUGGGUUGUAAACUGCUUUUAUACAGGAAGAAACCUCUCCACGUGUGGGGAGCUGACGGUACUGUAUGAAUAAGGAUCGGCUAACUCCGUGCCAGCAGCCGCGGUAAUACGGAGGAUCCAAGCGUUAUCCGGAAUCAUUGGGUUUAAAGGGUCCGUAGGCGGGUCUAUAAGUCAGUGGUGAAAGUCUGUCGCUCAACGAUAGAAUUGCCAUUGAUACUGUAGAUCUUGAAUUAUUAUGAAGUGGUUGGAAUGAGUAGUGUAGCGGUGAAAUGCAUAGAUAUUACUCAGAACACCUAUUGCGAAGGCAGAUCACUAAUACUAUAUUGACGCUGAUGGACGAAAGCGUAGGUAGCGAACAGGAUUAGAUACCCUGGUAGUCUACGCCGUAAACGAUGGUCACUAGCUGUCCGGCCUAAUUUGAGGGCUGG
RNAcentral lists this ribosomal RNA (736 nucleotides) under Christiangramia sp. RNAcentral describes it as "bacterial SSU rRNA". It matches the Rfam family "Bacterial small subunit ribosomal RNA", at positions 110 to 842 of the family's 1533-position model. Lineage: Bacteria; Pseudomonadati; Bacteroidota; Flavobacteriia; Flavobacteriales; Flavobacteriaceae. The record is from RNAcentral.